Molecule: ribosomal RNA, 468 nt
Filed under: uncultured bacterium
Lineage: Bacteria
Description: partial 16S ribosomal RNA
Rfam family: Bacterial small subunit ribosomal RNA
Source: RNAcentral
GACGAACGCUGGCGGCGUGCUUAACACAUGCAAGUCGAACGGAAAGGCCCUGCUUUUGUGGGGUGCUCGAGUGGCGAACGGGUGAGUAACACGUGAGUAACCUGCCCUUGACUUUGGGAUAACUUCAGGAAACUGGGGCUAAUACCGGAUAGGAGCUCCUGCUGCAUGGUGGGGGUUGGAAAGUUUCGGCGGUUGGGGAUGGACUCGCGGCUUAUCAGCUUGUUGGUGGGGUAGUGGCUUACCAAGGCUUUGACGGGUAGCCGGCCUGAGGGGGUGACCGGCCACAUUGGGACUGAGAUACGGCCCAGACUCCUACGGGAGGCAGCAGUGGGGAAUAUUGCACAAUGGGCGGAAGCCUGAUGCAGCAACGCCGCGUGCGGGAUGACGGCCCUCGGGUUGUAAACCGCUUUCGCCUGUGACGAAGCGUGAGUGACGGUAAUGGGUAAAGAAGCACCGGCUAACUACGUG